CUUGCUUCUCUUGAGAGCGGCGGACGGGUGAGUAAUGCCUAGGAAUCUGCCUAGUGGUGGGGGAUAACGUUCGGAAACGGACGCUAAUACCGCAUACGUCCUACGGGAGAAAGCGGGGGAUCUUCGGACCUCGCGCCAUUAGAUGAGCCUAGGUCGGAUUAGCUAGUUGGUGAGGUAAUGGCUCACCAAGGCGACGAUCCGUAACUGGUCUGAGAGGAUGAUCAGUCACACUGGAACUGAGACACGGUCCAGACUCCUACGGGAGGCAGCAGUGGGGAAUAUUGGACAAUGGGCGAAAGCCUGAUCCAGCCAUGCCGCGUGUGUGAAGAAGGUCUUCGGAUUGUAAAGCACUUUAAGUUGGGAGGAAGGGUAGUAACUUAAUACGUUGCUACUUUGACGUUACCGACAGAAUAAGCACCGGCUAACUUCGUGCCAGCAGCCGCGGUAAUACGAAGGGUGCAAGCGUUAAUCGGAAUUACUGGGCGUAAAGCGCGCGUAGGUGGUUCAGUAAGUUGGAAGUGAAAUCCCCGGGCUCAACCUGGGAACUGCUUUCAAAACUGCUGAGCUAGAGUACGGUAGAGGGUGGUGGAAUUUCCUGUGUAGCGGUGAAAUGCGUAGAUAUAGGAAGGAACACCAGUGGCGAAGGCGACCACCUGGACUGAUACUGACACUGAGGUGCGAAAGCGUGGGGAGCAAACAGGAUUAGAUACCCUGGUAGUCCACGCCGUAAACGAUGUCAACUAGCCGUUGGAAUCCUUGA
Molecule: ribosomal RNA, 760 nt
Filed under: uncultured bacterium
Lineage: Bacteria
Description: bacterial SSU rRNA
Rfam family: Bacterial small subunit ribosomal RNA
Source: RNAcentral